This is a long non-coding RNA of Sinocyclocheilus anshuiensis, 501 nucleotides long. RefSeq lists it as uncharacterized. The transcript has 5 exons. NCBI's taxonomy places the organism in Eukaryota, Metazoa, Chordata, Actinopteri, Cypriniformes, Cyprinidae. The record is from RefSeq and is a predicted model, not a curated record.
GAAACUCAUAUUUAGACAAAAUACAGAUAAAAUCGCAUUUAUUGAAGGAUUAUUAUAAAACCUAACGUACUUCAAUUUCCCUCACGGACCAAAACCGCAGGCAUGAAUGUCAAAAUGCCAAAGGACCAUCUAUGGAGGAUUAAACAGAAAUGGACACAAUGUCAAGAUCAAAGAGGCUGCACUCGUUUUUCUGCGAUAUGCCGGACCCAAACCCCACAGCUUGACCGACAGAUCCCGACCAACCAAGACACUUCGAGCCUUGACAUGGCCAUGGAUGUAGUUCUUACUAUGCAGAUACUCCUGUGAUUUCAGAACAGAUGCAAUCUGAGCGCCCAUGGUAAAGAUUUGUCUUUCAGUCAUGUCACACGGUGCCUCCUGACCUGUGUGGUCCUGUGAAAGAGAUUUACAGCCAGUCAAAACAAAGGAAGCUCAGCAGGUCACGGUGUUCCAGCUCCUCUACGGCAAUCAUCAACGGUGUCCGCACAGACACCACCCCCAGCA